AUUGAACGCUGGCGGCAUGCUUUACACAUGCAAGUCGAACGGUAACAGGUUAAGCUGACGAGUGGCGAACGGGUGAGUAAUGCAUCGGAACGUGCCCGAUCGUGGGGGAUAACGCAGCGAAAGCUGCGCUAAUACCGCAUACGAUCUGAGGAUGAAAGCGGGGGACCGUAAGGCCUCGCGCGAUCGGAGCGGCCGAUGUCAGAUUAGGUAGUUGGUGGGGGAAAGGCUCACCAAGCCAACGAUCUGUAGCUGGUCUGAGAGGACGACCAGCCACACUGGGACUGAGACACGGCCCAGACUCCUACGGGAGGCAGCAGUGGGGAAUUUUGGGCAAUGGGCGAAAGCCUGAUCCAGCAAUGCCGCGUGCAGGAAGAAGGCCUUCGGGUUGUAAACUGCUUUUGUACGGAGCGAAAAGGCCCUCUCUAAUACAGUGGGCUCAUGACGGUACCGUAAGAAUAACCACCGGCUAACUACGUGCCAGCAGCCGCCGCCG
Molecule: ribosomal RNA, 493 nt
Filed under: uncultured bacterium
Lineage: Bacteria
Description: partial 16S ribosomal RNA
Rfam family: Bacterial small subunit ribosomal RNA
Source: RNAcentral